GACGAACGCUGGCGGCGUGCUUAACACAUGCAAGUCGAACGGAAAGGCCCUGCUUUUGUGGGGUGCUCGAGUGGCGAACGGGUGAGUAACACGUGAGUAACCUGCCCUUGACUUUGGGAUAACUUCAGGAAACUGGGGCUAAUACCGGAUAGGAGCUCCUGCUGCAUGGUGGGGGUUGGAAAGUUUCGGCGGUUGGGGAUGGACUCGCGGCUUACCAGCUUGUUGGUGGGGUAGUUGCUUACCAAGGCUUUGACGGAUAGCCGGCCUGAGAGGGUGACCGGCCACAUUGGGACUGAGAUACGGCCCAGACGCCUACGGGAGGCAGCAGUGGGGAAUAUUGCACAAUGGGCGGAAGCCUGAUGCAGCAACGCCGCGUGCGGGAUGACGGCCUUCGGGUUGUAAACCGCUUUCGCCUGUGACGAAGCGUGAGUGACGGUAAUGGGUAAAGAAGCACCGGCUAACUACGUG
This 468-nucleotide ribosomal RNA is filed under the name uncultured bacterium. RNAcentral's name for it is "partial 16S ribosomal RNA". It matches the Rfam family "Bacterial small subunit ribosomal RNA", at positions 28 to 507 of the family's 1533-position model. The record is from RNAcentral.